This 485-nucleotide ribosomal RNA is filed under the name uncultured Candida. RNAcentral's name for it is "SSU rRNA". It matches the Rfam family "Eukaryotic small subunit ribosomal RNA", at positions 522 to 1030 of the family's 1831-position model. Lineage: Eukaryota; Fungi; Ascomycota; Saccharomycetes; Saccharomycetales. The record is from RNAcentral.
CCCUUAUUGGGGGGCAAGUUUAUUGGAGGGGCAAGUCUGGUGCCAGCAGCCGCGGUAAUUCCAGCUCCAAAAGCGUAUAUUAAAGUUGUUGCAGUUAAAAAGCUGGUAGUUGAACCUUGGGCUUGGUUGGCCGGUCCAUCUUUGUGAUGCGUACUGGACCCAACGGAGCCUUUCCUUCUGGCUAGCCUUUUGGCGAACCAGGACUUUUACUUUGAAAAAAUUAGAGUGUUCAAAGCAGGCCUUUGCUCGAAUAUAUUAGCAUGGAAUAAUAGAAUAGGACGUUAUGGUUCUAUUUUGUUGGUUUCUAGGACCAUCGUAAUGAUUAAUAGGGACGGUCGGGGGUAUCAGUAUUCAGUUGUCAGAGGUGAAAUUCUUGGAUUUACUGAAGACUAACUACUGCGAAAGCAUUUACCAAGGACGUUUUCAUUAAUCAAGAACGAAAGUUAGGGGAUCGAAGAUGAUCAGAUACCCAACGAGGUACUGGG